RNAcentral lists this ribosomal RNA (494 nucleotides) under uncultured bacterium. RNAcentral's name for it is "bacterial SSU rRNA". It matches the Rfam family "Bacterial small subunit ribosomal RNA", at positions 10 to 507 of the family's 1533-position model. The record is from RNAcentral.
AGUUUGAUCCUGGCUCAGGAUGAACGCUAGCGGCAGGCCUAAUACAUGCAAGUCGAACGCUCAGUAGCAAUACUGGGAGUGGCGCACGGGUGCGUAACGCGUACACAAUCUACCUCUAAGCGGGGGACACCUCCUGGAAACGGGGAUUAAUACCGCAUAAUAUGCCGAAGUCGCAUGACUUUGGUAUUAAAGCAGCAAUGCACUUAGAGAUGAGUGUGCGUCCCAUUAGGUAGUUGGUGAGGUAACGGCUCACCAAGCCUAUGAUGGGUAGCCGGUCUGAGAGGAUGGUCGGCCACACGGGCACUGAGACACGGGCCCGACUCCUACGGGAGGCAGCAGUAAGGAAUAUUGGUCAAUGGUGGAAACACUGAACCAGCCAUGCCGCGUGGAGGAAUAAGGUCCUACGGAUUGUAAACUCCUUUUGACGAGGAAGAAAAUGUUAGAUUUAUCUAAUUUUGACGGUACUCGUAGAAUAAGCACCGGCUAACUCCGUG